GCACAAGCGGUGGAGCAUGUGGUCUAAUUCGAAGCAACGCGAAGAACCUUACCAGGUCUUGACAUCCUCUGACACUCCUAGAGACAGGACGUUCCCCUUCGGGGGACAGAGUGACAGGUGGUGCAUGGUUGUCGUCAGCUCGUGUCGUGAGAUGUUGGGUUAAGUCCCGCAACGAGCGCAACCCUUGUUCUUAGUUGCCAGCAUUUAGUUGGGCACUCUAAGGAGACUGCCGGUGACAAACCGGAGGAAGGUGGGGAUGACGUCAAAUCAUCAUGCCCCUUAUGACCUGGGCUACACACGUGCUACAAUGGAUGGUACAAAGGGCUGCAAAACCGCGAGGUUGAGCCAAUCCCAUAAAACCAUUCUCAGUUCGGAUUGUAGGCUGCAACUCGCCUACAUGAAGCCGGAAUCGCUAGUAAUCGCGGAUCAGCAUGCCGCGGUGAAUACGUUCCCGGGC
RNAcentral lists this ribosomal RNA (457 nucleotides) under uncultured bacterium. RNAcentral's name for it is "bacterial SSU rRNA". It matches the Rfam family "Bacterial small subunit ribosomal RNA", at positions 923 to 1379 of the family's 1533-position model. The record is from RNAcentral.